RNAcentral lists this ribosomal RNA (118 nucleotides) under Triticum aestivum (bread wheat). The record is from RNAcentral. Lineage: Eukaryota; Viridiplantae; Streptophyta; Magnoliopsida; Poales; Poaceae.
AGAUGCGAUCAUACCAGCACUAAAGCACCGGAUCCCAUCUGAACUCCGAAGUUAAGCGUGCUUUGGCGAGAGUAGUACUAGGAUGGUGACCUCCUGGGAAGUCCUCGUGUUGCAUUCC